Molecule: non-coding RNA, 115 nt
Filed under: human gut metagenome
Description: FMN riboswitch (RFN element)
Rfam family: FMN riboswitch aptamer (RFN element)
About the family: The RFN element is a highly conserved domain that is found frequently in the 5'-untranslated regions of prokaryotic mRNAs that encode for flavin mononucleotide (FMN) biosynthesis and transport proteins. This element is a metabolite-dependent riboswitch that directly binds FMN in the absence of proteins.
Source: RNAcentral
UAUCUUCGGGGCGAGGUGUAAUUCCUCACCGGCGGUGAAAGUCCGCGAGGCGAAAAUAUUCGCUUGAUUCGGUGCAAUUCCGAAACCGACGGUAUAGUCCGGAUGAAAGAAGAUG